This 245-nucleotide ribosomal RNA is filed under the name uncultured Lactobacillus sp. RNAcentral describes it as "partial 16S ribosomal RNA". It matches the Rfam family "Bacterial small subunit ribosomal RNA", at positions 118 to 355 of the family's 1533-position model. Lineage: Bacteria; Bacillati; Bacillota; Bacilli; Lactobacillales; Lactobacillaceae. The record is from RNAcentral.
UGGGGAACCUGCCCCAUAGUCUGGGAUACCACUUGGAAACAGGUGCUAAUACCGGAUAAGAAAGCGGAUCGCAUGAUCAGCUUUUAAAAGGCGGCGUAAGCUGUCGCUAUGGGAUGGCCCCGCGGUGCAUUAGCUAGUUGGUAAGGUAAAGGCUUACCAAGGCGAUGAUGCAUAGCCGAGUUGAGAGGCUGAUCGGCCACAUUGGGACUGAGACACGGCCCAAACUCCUACGGGAGGCAGCAGCC